This is a long non-coding RNA of Eriocheir sinensis (Chinese mitten crab), 2435 nucleotides long. RefSeq lists it as uncharacterized. The record is from RefSeq and is a predicted model, not a curated record. The transcript is spliced from 4 exons. NCBI's taxonomy places the organism in Eukaryota, Metazoa, Arthropoda, Malacostraca, Decapoda, Varunidae.
CCACCUGUGACAUCAAGAUCAAGAUGGAGUGAGUGAACAGACACCCUAUGGAGUUAUUCGUGUGCGGUGAGAGACUUACACGUUGUUAUUUGCAUGCGUGACUAACUCUACAGCUGUGUCACUGUGCUCCUGUGUGCUGUGUUACGUCUACGUCUUGAGGUGACGGUCAGGGAUUAGCACAUCUCACAUCUGAGGGUGGACGUGCCGCUCUCUUCCCUAACUGAACUUCUGCCUAUUAUUAUUGGUGUUGUGUCUCGCCAUGCCACCCAAGCUUUCAAAAUACCCUGGUCCUGCUGGCCACUCGUCGAGAACUCCAAAGCAAGAUGGCAUUAUCCCGAAAACAAAAGGACUGGUUGGUACUCGAUCCCAGAGGAGGGGACCCCCGAUCAGCUGAUCAUGGUGGCACGCGGGUAUCAAGCUAUCAACUCGGACUGAUGGUCAACCUGCGGGUGAUUUUGACAUGCGGCAGCUUGGGGUCGCCCGCAGGGUCCUCCGCUCCAAGGGAAUGACCAGGACAUGCGCCUCCCCCCGCCAGGCAUGGGGGGGGGGAGGUGGUGGAGGUGGAGCGCUGUCACACCAUGAUAACAGGUUUCCCCAUGACCUGCGUGCCGAUUUCGUUGACCAGCGGGGCAUACAGUGCUUCUGAGAGCCCCCGCCCCAGCCCCGAGACCUGCGGGGUGACCCACUGGACUUGAGGUCCUGGUGGCACUCGACCCGAGCUACUGGUACUGCCAGAACCCCCUGGCUGGCGGAUGAGAUCUUCCUGAUGGAUGUGGCGGCCAACUUCCUGACUGUGAGGAUCGGGGAGUGCAAGAAGCGGCCAGAGGUUUUCAAGGACACGACCGACCCAAACCAGAAAUCCCAUUGCUCGAUUAUGUGAUGUGUUGUGAUUGUGAAUAUGUCUUGAGUUUGCUGGUGAAGGUUUCCAUGGCAAAUAGGAUCAUACUGAAAAGAUAUUAGCCGGGGGUCUUCAAGGACACGACCGACCCAAACCAGAAAUCCUAGUACUCAAUUAUGUGGUUAUUGUGAAUAUGUCUUGACUUUGCUGGUGAAGGUUUCCAUGGUGAACAGGAUCAUACUGAAAGGAUAUUAGCAUGGAAAGAUAUUGUUGUGCUGUGUUCGUGGGAGUCCCGUAAACAAACAUGUGGGUACAGCUAUUACUGGACGCAAAAUGUUAUUGUAAAGCCUGCUGGAUACAUUUGACAAGCAUAGAAAACCACCUAAAAAUUAUAAGUUAAAACUCUGUCAUCACUUGCAGAAUUGGAAGUCCAAACAAUCUAAACUGAUACUUCAAAGGGAGCCCACAGCCUUGGGAUUACUUUAGGCAUUUGGGUUUGAGUCUUGGUGCAAAGCCAGAUUUUUAAGAAAUUUAUUUAUAAAAUUGUGCGGGCCGUGAACACCUCGUGUGUGACCCCCUGCUGCUCACAAGCCGUACACCAAUUAACCGUGUAGCAGCGACGGGACAAAUUUGUGGCUUAACCGUGGAGCAGCGACGAGCCAAACUUGUGCCAUGAUUUAAACCCAAAAAAAUAGAUGAUACAUAAACUGAUCACAAAUGUUUUGAUAUAUAUUAUGAAAUGGUUUGUGUGAAGGGUGAUUUUUUCUCAUUUUUCUCGCUUAGAGGGACCAUUAAGAAACAUGAUCCCCGCUGCUACCGGGUUGAAAAAAACAAAACUUCCUAUGGAGAAAAAAUCAUGCUAUUCCGCCUUCUGUAUAAAAAGAGAUGUUAUAUGUUUUUUCCUAUUUUAGUCAUGGAAUUUGUGCAGAAUAUUGUUGUACACUUGGGCACUUAAACAGGAGGAGGCUUUUCAAACAGGCAAAUGUUGGUGCCCAGAUGUUUUAAAAUGCUGCUUGGAAGUCUGGAAGAGUGACUGGAAUCUGCGACAUCUUUGCUGAUGGGGUCUUCGUGGUGCAGUGGUUAGCACACUCAGCUCACAACCAAGAGAGCACGGGGUCGAUUCCCAGGCGGAGUGGAAAAAUUUGGGCGGCUUUUCCGAUACCCUACGCCCCUGUCCACCCAGCAGUGAAUGGGUACCAGGUAUUAAUCGGGGGUUGUGUCCCGUCUCCUGGGGUUUGUUCUCUUCUAUAAUUCCUUCCCAUUCUGUCUCUCUCCGACACAUGACCACAGAUGUUGCGCCCACUAAACAAAACUUUCCAACUUUUUCUCUGGUGAUUCUCUGUACAGGCAGUGGUUCGGAAGGUGUACUAGACUGCCUCCAGCUGACUGUUUGAGGCUCUACCAUGUCUUCCGGUCAUGGUUUUAGGGUUUCCGCCGUCCAUAAGCUUAAGAAAUCUUGUGUACUGUAUUUCCAAGCUUCUGAAAAUGGACCCAAAAUAUAAUACUGAGUGCCUCUCUAAUGUUUAUCUCUAUGUAUAGGGAAGGGAGUUGUAUCAUAGCCUGUUAAGAAUAUUAAGGUGUCUAUUGUGUAUUUCCA